Long non-coding RNA from Erinaceus europaeus (western European hedgehog), 659 nucleotides. RefSeq lists it as uncharacterized. The record is from RefSeq and is a predicted model, not a curated record. The transcript is spliced from 3 exons. NCBI's taxonomy places the organism in Eukaryota, Metazoa, Chordata, Mammalia, Eulipotyphla, Erinaceidae.
CACUUGUUCAGCCCGGAUUUUCUGGUAGCUGCAGGCCGGCCCUUGCCACCUGUUAUGUGGCCACUGCCUUCUAGAUUUUCCUUGUGUAUCUGCAGGCAGGCCAAGGCUGCGAGAAGAAAGAAGGUCACUUGUCACUUACCUCAACGCUCGCAGGUCGGUGAUGCCAGAGAAGCCUGAAGAAGAGAGACGUGCAUCCUAGGAGGUGGCACAGGGGAUAGAACAGGGCAAUUGCCUUUAGAAUUGGCUAGCUUACUGUGUGUACAUUAAGAAUGUCUGGUAUGUAUUUGAAGAUCUGGAGGAAAUGUAGAAGGUAACAGACUUCUUGAAUGUUUAUACUCCCAGCUGCUGUCCCCUCCUCUCCCUUUCAGUGAUGAGUAGCAUGGGUCAGAGUUGGGCCAGCUAGAGUUAUUCUCCAGUGUUUUAAGUGACCUUGCAGAGAGGAGAGAUUUUAUUUCUGCUAUGAAGUUGUAGAAAUGUGGUCUAGGGCUGGAAUUCGGGGGAGCACAUGCACAGAAGCUGUUAGAAGCAAUGGUGCUGAUGCUCUGCUCAAGUGGAGACGCAGCCAGACUCCUCCUCCCCUCCCUCCAGUUUUCCUAUCAUCUAAUAUGCUUCUCUUUUCAUCUAAACUAGUCCUUGUCUCUUGCACCCAAGAGGGGGCU